UGCGUAGGCGGAAUAUUAAGUCAGUGGUGAAAUCCUGCGGCUCAACCGUAGAACUGCCAUUGAUACUGGUAUUCUUGAAUGUAGUUGAGGUAGGCGGAAUGUGUAAUGUAGCGGUGAAAUGCUUAGAUAUUACACAGAACACCGAUUGCGAAGGCAGCUUACUAAACUAUGAUUGACGCUGAUGCACGAAAGCGUGGGGAGCGAACAGGAUUAGAUACCCUGGUAGUCC
This 229-nucleotide ribosomal RNA is filed under the name uncultured bacterium. Its description in RNAcentral is "partial 16S ribosomal RNA". It matches the Rfam family "Bacterial small subunit ribosomal RNA", at positions 568 to 796 of the family's 1533-position model. The record is from RNAcentral.